Non-coding RNA from Serendipita sp. 399, 72 nucleotides. Lineage: Eukaryota; Fungi; Basidiomycota; Agaricomycetes; Sebacinales; Serendipitaceae. The record is from the annotation of a GenBank genome assembly.
GAGCCUUUAGCUUAACGGUAAAGUACUUUCUUGUCACGAAAGUUUAUGUCGGUUCAAAUCCGAUAAGGCUCG